Molecule: ribosomal RNA, 492 nt
Filed under: uncultured bacterium
Lineage: Bacteria
Description: partial 16S ribosomal RNA
Rfam family: Bacterial small subunit ribosomal RNA
Source: RNAcentral
AGUGAACGCUGGCGGUAGGCCUAACACAUGCAAGUCGAACGGCAGCACAGUAAGAGCUUGCUCUUACGGGUGGCGAGUGGCGGACGGGUGAGGAAUACAUCGGAAUCUACUUUUUCGUGGGGGAUAACGUAGGGAAACUUACGCUAAUACCGCAUACGACCUACGGGUGAAAGCAGGGGAUCUUCGGACCUUGCGCGAUUGAAUGAGCCGAUGUCGGAUUAGCUAGUUGGCGGGGUAAAGGCCCACCAAGGCGACGAUCCGUAGCUGGUCUGAGAGGAUGAUCAGCCACACUGGAACUGAGACACGGUCCAGACUCCUACGAGAGGCAGCAGUGGGGAAUAUUGGACAAUGGGCGCAAGCCUGAUCCAGCCAUACCGCGUGGGUGAAGAAGGCCUUCGGGUUGUAAAGCCCUUUUGUUGGGAAAGAAAAGCAGCAGGUUAAUACCCCGCUGUUCUGGCGGUACCCAAAGAAUAAGCACCGGCUAACUUCGUG